Molecule: unclassified non-coding RNA, 229 nt
Filed under: uncultured fungus
Lineage: Eukaryota; Fungi
Description: sequence contains 5.8S rRNA gene, ITS2
Rfam family: 5.8S ribosomal RNA (bases 1-113)
Source: RNAcentral
CGAUGAAGAACGCAGCGAAAUGCGAUACGCAAUGCGAAUUGCAGAACCGUGAGUCAUCAGAUUUUUGAACGCAAGUGGCGAUGGUUUCGGCCAUCAUGUUUGUUUCAGUGUGCUCGGUUAAUUACAUCAUAGAAUUUAAUGUGACUGAAGCAAUUCUUUCACUUAAUAUGAAGUAAUGUCAGCUACUGUACAUUAAAUGAGAAUGUCACUAACAUGGUGAUAAUCAUUU